CCUACGGGGGGCAGCAGUGGGGAAUAUUGCGCAAUGGGCGAAAGCCUGACGCAGCGCCGCCGCGUGAGGGAUGAAGGUCUUCGGAUCGUAAACCUCUGUACGCAGGGAAGAACGGUCACUGUGCUAAUCAGCAGUGAAUUGACGGUACCUGCAAAGGAAGCACCGGCUAACUCCGUGCCAGCCGCCGCGGUAAUACGGAGGGUGCGAGCGUUAAUCGGAUUUACUGGGCGUAAAGCGCUCGUAGGCGGUAUGUCAAGUCAUGUGUGAAAUCCCCGCGCUCAACGUGGGAACUGCCUUUGAAACUGGCAAACUGGAGUGUGUGAGAGGAUAGUGGAAUUCCAGGUGUAGGAGUGAAAUCCGUAGAUAUCUGGAGGAACAUCAGUGGCGAAGGCGACUAUCUGGCACAUAACUGACGCUGAGGAGCGAAAGCGUGGGUAGCAAACAGGAUUAGAUACCCGGGUAGUC
RNAcentral lists this ribosomal RNA (465 nucleotides) under uncultured bacterium. Its description in RNAcentral is "partial 16S ribosomal RNA". It matches the Rfam family "Bacterial small subunit ribosomal RNA", at positions 338 to 795 of the family's 1533-position model. The record is from RNAcentral.